GUAAGCGGAUCAGAGGAAGAGCGGGCGGCUCAUAACUGCCGGGUCGGGAUUUCGAAAUUCCCCGGGUCCACCA
This 73-nucleotide transfer RNA is filed under the name Acidithiobacillus sp. GGI-221. RNAcentral's name for it is "tRNA-OTHER". The record is from RNAcentral. Lineage: Bacteria; Pseudomonadati; Pseudomonadota; Acidithiobacillia; Acidithiobacillales; Acidithiobacillaceae.